Molecule: long non-coding RNA, 499 nt
Organism: Propithecus coquereli (Coquerel's sifaka)
Lineage: Eukaryota; Metazoa; Chordata; Mammalia; Primates; Indriidae
Exons: 3
Source: RefSeq, a predicted model, not a curated record
UCCCAGUGGGCUGGUCCACACCAGUGGACUUCAAAUAGGCUUUGGGUUGCUGUAUGUUAAAGGACAGCAAGAAUCACUCGACAAUUGAUUCGUUAGCGCAAUAGCAGCUAUAGAUAAAACCAGUGAAAUAAUGAAAAAACUUAAAGUAAGCAAACGACAACUCCUGGAGGAGAUCAAUGAAAAGCGUGAAUCCAACUGCUUAGUGGAAAGAAGCAAUCAAGUCAGCUUAUUGAGAGUUCAAAAGAGGCACUUCAGCUGUGCCUAUGGGUCCUGUACUCACACCACAAGCAAAGAACCUGUUCCUGACAGUGGCAGGAGCUCCUGGGUCAAACUGAGUCUCCUUGUUUACAACGAGAGAAGGCACUUUCCACCAAAAAAUAAUGCCAUCUUUGGAUAAAGCGCAUCUCCAGCAACACACGGAAAUACAUUCUCUUAGAUCCUUCUUCAAUGUCUGUCUAAAUUCUUUUCAAAUAUUAAUUAUAAAAGAAGCUAAACAAAA